Molecule: ribosomal RNA, 440 nt
Filed under: uncultured bacterium
Lineage: Bacteria
Description: partial 16S ribosomal RNA
Rfam family: Bacterial small subunit ribosomal RNA
Source: RNAcentral
CCUACGGGAGGCAGCAGUGGGGAAUAUUGCACAAUGGGGGGAACCCUGAUGCAGCAACGCCGCGUGGGUGAAGAAGUAUUUCGGUAUGUAAAGCCCUGUCAGCCGUGACGAAGGAGACGGUACCUUCCCAAGAAGCCCCGGCUAACUUCGUGCCAGCAGCCGCGGUAAUACGUAGGGGGCAAGCGUUAUCCGGAUUUACUGGGGGUAAAGGGAGCGUAGGCGGCACUGCAAGACUGGGGUGAAAGCCCGGGGCCCAACCACGGGACUGCUCUUGUUACUGCGGGGCUGGAGUGCAGGAGGGGAAAGCGGAAUUCCUAGUGUAGAGGUGAAAGGCGUAGAUAUUAGGAGGAACACCGGUGGCGAAGGCGGCUUACUGGACUGUAACUGACGUUGAGGCUCGAAGGCGUGGGGAGCAAACAGGAUUAGAUACCCUGGUAGUC